Molecule: ribosomal RNA, 978 nt
Filed under: Bacillus velezensis
Lineage: Bacteria; Bacillati; Bacillota; Bacilli; Caryophanales; Bacillaceae
Description: bacterial SSU rRNA
Rfam family: Bacterial small subunit ribosomal RNA
Source: RNAcentral
CCGCGUGAGUGAUGAAGGUUUUCGGAUCGUAAAGCUCUGUUGUUAGGGAAGAACAAGUGCCGUUCAAAUAGGGCGGCACCUUGACGGUACCUAACCAGAAAGCCACGGCUAACUACGUGCCAGCAGCCGCGGUAAUACGUAGGUGGCAAGCGUUGUCCGGAAUUAUUGGGCGUAAAGGGCUCGCAGGCGGUUUCUUAAGUCUGAUGUGAAAGCCCCCGGCUCAACCGGGGAGGGUCAUUGGAAACUGGGGAACUUGAGUGCAGAAGAGGAGAGUGGAAUUCCACGUGUAGCGGUGAAAUGCGUAGAGAUGUGGAGGAACACCAGUGGCGAAGGCGACUCUCUGGUCUGUAACUGACGCUGAGGAGCGAAAGCGUGGGGAGCGAACAGGAUUAGAUACCCUGGUAGUCCACGCCGUAAACGAUGAGUGCUAAGUGUUAGGGGGUUUCCGCCCCUUAGUGCUGCAGCUAACGCAUUAAGCACUCCGCCUGGGGAGUACGGUCGCAAGACUGAAACUCAAAGGAAUUGACGGGGGCCCGCACAAGCGGUGGAGCAUGUGGUUUAAUUCGAAGCAACGCGAAGAACCUUACCAGGUCUUGACAUCCUCUGACAAUCCUAGAGAUAGGACGUCCCCUUCGGGGGCAGAGUGACAGGUGGUGCAUGGUUGUCGUCAGCUCGUGUCGUGAGAUGUUGGGUUAAGUCCCGCAACGAGCGCAACCCUUGAUCUUAGUUUGCCAGCAUUCAGUUGGGCACUCUAAGGUGACUGCCGGUGACAAACCGGAGGAACGGUGGGGAUGACGUCAAAUCAUCAUGCCCCUUUAUGACCGUUGGGCUACACACGUGCUACAAAUGGACAGAACAAAGGGCCAGCGAAACCGGCGGAGGUUAAGCUCAUUCCCCCAAAUCUGUUCUUCAGUCGGAUUCCAACUCUGCACCUCGACUGCGUUGAAGCUGGAAUCGCUAGUAAUCCCGGAUCAUCAU